UAUCCAAAUAAAUAACAUCAGUUUGACAGUGAUCUGAGAGAGAAGAGGUGAUGGUGAACAGAUGAGUUAAGAGCUGCUGAACAGUAGAGCAGUGCUUUAAAAAAGCCAAAUUGGUUGGAGCAGAUCUGAGAAGAUAAAUGAGAGUAUAUGUGAUCAAAAAUUAGGCGUUCAAAGACUUUGGAGAUGAUGCACAGUAAAGAGAUUGGUCGAUAGUUCUUUAUUUGAGAUUUGUCCCCAGACUUGGGAAUCAGUAUGAUCUGAUGAACAUGCCAUUCAUUUAUGGGAGGUAGGAUUGAACCAAGCAUUGUGUGAAUAGAUGGUGUAUUGGUUACUAUGAUGAAAGAUCGGACAGCUCUACUCUAACUCCGAAAAAACUGAAUUCACAUUUGUCAUUAAGAAUGUUUAUUGUGUUUGGAUUGUUGAUGGGAUGAUGAA
Molecule: long non-coding RNA, 435 nt
Organism: Amphimedon queenslandica
Lineage: Eukaryota; Metazoa; Porifera; Demospongiae; Haplosclerida; Niphatidae
Exons: 2
Source: RefSeq, a predicted model, not a curated record